Molecule: long non-coding RNA, 4201 nt
Organism: Oryzias javanicus (javanese ricefish)
Lineage: Eukaryota; Metazoa; Chordata; Actinopteri; Beloniformes; Adrianichthyidae
Source: Ensembl
GUAACAUUUAACAUUUAUUGAAGGAAAAGAAAAAGAUAAACAGCAGCAAUGCGAUCCAUGUUACUGGGGAAGACUGAACAUCAAUAACUAAGUUUGUUUGACCAUUUAAAACUGCUAUAGUGGAACAACAGCGUGUGUAGAAGUUCUCUUGGUUUGAUUAAAACAAAUGAGAACUUCCUAAAUGCUGUAAAACAGCAUGAGUUGAGCAGAUAACAGGUUAUCCAUUUUAUUUUUGUCAAAGAAAUUUUGCAAAUAAAUAUCGGCCAUCAGCCGCCCGGAGUUAAAGAAUAUAUCAGUAUCGUAUCGACCUUGGAAAAAAAAAAAACCUAUGUAGUUCAACUCAGAAGAAAUCAGCAGACAUUAUCUUUAGAAACGUUUUAAUGAAAAGGAAUCCCAACAUGUGAGUAAAAGAGCGGGAGUGGAGGACGGAGCGGGCCGGGCCGGGUCACUGCAGCUGCUGCAGCCGCUCCAGCAGCUCGCACGCGCCGGGUCUGCGCAGGGCGUCUGCGCUCCAGCACGCGCCCAGCAGCGCGCGGAGCCGCCCCCCCAGCUCCGAGCGGAACACGGCGCUGUCCCGCAGCGAGGGCCGCAGCUCCUGCGCCACGAUGGCGUAGAGGACGCGCUGGCGCUCGCCCGCGUAGGGCGGCUCCCGGGUCAGCAGCUGCCACAGCGUGAUGCCGAAGGAGAAGAUGUCCGCCUUGGGAGACACCGCCUCGCCCUUCAGCAGCUCCGGGGCUCGGUGCGUGUGCACGAGGCUGUGCGCGUGCAGGUACCGGAGCCCGCGCGCGAUGUCCGCAGAGUACCGGAGGCAGCGCUCCUCCCGCAGCGGCUCCGGCGACCCGUAGAUGAUCUGCUGGAGGUUCCGGUUCCCCACGAACUCCAUCAGGAUGGUCCCGAUGCUGCUCUCGGCUUCGGAGCCUCCCGGCGUGGACGUGCUCGCCGCGAUCACGCGCACGAUGUUGUCGUGGUGCAGGUGAGCGACGUUCAGCUCCGCCCAGAAGCUCUGGCGGGAAGCCAGCCGGUUCUUACUGCACUUGUUGACUCUCUUCAGAGCCACCGUCCUCCCGAGGUACUCCGCCCGGAACACGGAGCCGAACCCGCCCGAGCCCACCGCCUCCACGGAGCGCAGCUGCUCCCAAUGGAUGACCGAGGAGCAGCACCGGGGGGCGGCGGCGCGGCGCGGCGGGGGGGCCCAGCGGGCUGCUGCAGACACCGCCCGCCGCGUGGGGAAACAGGCCUCGGGGCAACAAGCGGCUGGGGGGGAUCGGGGAAGGCAUGGCGGAGUCUGGCCUCGCGGCCGCUACAGGUGCGUUUAUAUGGCGAGGGAGGAGGGACAAAAUACCGGCUGAGACCAGCGAUUUGGCUGUUCAUGGAUGUGCAGAUGAGGGAAGGAAACUUGUUUCUAAAAUGACGAACCAAGGUCAGAACUUUGCUGUGGACUAAACUUUUCCUUGUUCUCUCCAAUGUAGGAUUUCAUUUGCAUUAAAAAAAACAAAUAAAUAAAUCACAAGAGCUUUACAUAUUUUUAAUUCAUAUUUCUUACAUUGUUUCAGUACCGUUUUUUAUAUUUACUUAUUUUUUAUUUCAUUUUUGAAUUGCUUUUGGAUUUCCUAUGAUGUGUUAUCCCCCUUUUCAUGUUUUUUAGGAGUUUGUUGCAGACCUGAUGCAGAGGCAGCAGUGAAGCAUGAAUGUGGCCCGGGACGCCUGGAUCUGCACCUGAAAUGAUCCAAUACAUCAGGGGUCCUCAAACUUUUCCUCUGAUGUGGGGUCGGUUUGUAGGCUAACAGAAAAAGUGUAACAAUCACAUUGUCUUAUUGUAAUCAUUUACGGUUUUCAAGAAAGCCACACAUAGAAAAAUCUUAAAUCAUUUAUUUCUUAAAUCUUCAUCAGAAAUACAGUACAAAUAUUAGUGAAACGCCAAAUUAGCCUAAAAAAGUAUGAAUUAGACAAAACAGGUAGCAUGUAGCUUAAAUAUUAACUAAAUGCCAAAUUGGAAAAAAAAAAGAGAAAAUCUGUAAUUGAGCCAAAGCAGCUAGCGUAAAGCUAAAAUAUUAACUAAGCUAUAAAUUAGCUAAACUGAAAAAAAAAAAAUCAAAAAUUAAUGGAAUAAAUGUCACGUUCUAUGUGGUUUUCAAUUGGUGUUUCUGAAGUGUGUGGGGGGCCGGGCUAAAUGUGGAGGCGGGCCUGAUCUGGCCCGCGGGCCGUGGUUUGGGGACGCCUGCAAUAAAAACUAAACAUGUUUUUUUUUUUUAAGGAAGUUCUUGAUGGAACAAAAGGAAACGUGUCGCUUGAUUUCUCAUCUUGACGUCUGGAAUAAGAAUCUUCUAUGAUUGAAUGAAACUUUUCCCAUUCAUCACAUGUGCACAUCAGCUUCAUACACACCACGAGGAGGCACAUGAAGCUGCAGCUGUCACCUCCUCCUCUCUGUGGAUCCUCUGCUCCUCCUCAGGGUCCCUCUGCUCCAGCAGCAGUCCGCAGUUCUCCAGCAGGAUCUUUGCUGCCUCAGCUCUUGAAAAAACCCAAUCUCAUUAAAGAAAUACAGUGAUGAUUAUUCCUGUCAUUUAUUCAUUAAUGUAGCACACAGCAUCUAGUAAUCUCCUCACAAAUGGAUAACAGAUGGGAAAAAGUAAAGGUUAUUAAUUAGUAGAGGGAGGGGUUAAAAACAUUGUAGAACUUCUGCAUCUUUAUUUUUCCACUUGAAAUGUUUGUUGACGACAGGAGCAAUUACACAUUUAAAGUUGGGCAUUUCCCGUGUUGUGCUUAAACUGGCUAACAUCUACACUCAGAAAUAUUUUCAAAUCUCUAUUUUAGAUUUUUGGGUGGACGUUUCUGUCCACAGGAGGGCAGAGAUCAGAACUGAACAGGAUGUGGUUCCAGCUCAGACUCCACUGAAUCUUAGAGCUGAUGAAGCUUCUUAUAAUAAUAAUAAUGGAUUUGAUUUAUCUGCACUUUUCCAGCGGCCCAAAGCACUUACAAUGAAUAUGCAUGAGUCAUUCAAACCUGUCAUACUUGGUGAUGGUUAGCUACUGCUGCCCUGGGGCAGGCUGACAGAGGCGUGGCUACCAGUUCGUGCCCAUGGCCCCUCUGACCAUCACCGGGACAUUCAUACACAUUCACACGCCAGUGGAGCCACACUGGAGGAAAGCAGGGUGAAGUGUCUUGCCCAAGGACACAACGACGGUUGGCUGGCUCGAUCAUUGGCUGACCUGCUCCACCACCUGAACUCCUGUCAGUGUUCAGCACAUCUUCACAUCUUUACACUUGCUUUCCUCAAAGCCAGCUGUUAUCUCCAUAAAACUGCAUCAUCAUCCUAAAAGGAGAUUAGAGAAACUUUCUCAAAAUUCACAUUUGUUGAGGUUGAAGAACAGAAAUAUUCCCAGUGUAAUGUUGAAGCAGGUAAAAAACAUCAAUCAGCUGAGCUUGGUUUAUUUUAGAUCAUUAAAAAUGCUUCACUUCUUCUCUGAGAGAUUUUCUCAAUGCAGGAAAGUUUAAAAAAAGUAAAUACUUUUUCAGCAACGUAUGAAAUUUCAGUCAAUUUUUUGUUUUGGGAAUAGUAACGCUGAGCAGCGUCGCUGUGUUAUGGAAUAGACUGAAUGACCUUUGACUUUUUAUGCAACAACAGGAAGUAGAGUUGAGGAGGGGAAGAACGCAGUUCGUCUGAUGUCCUGCUCUGAAUGUGUCAAACUACCAUCAGCAUGAUGUUAGUGAGAACAAACACAAAGCUGUCUUCUCCAGAGUCAAAGGUUUGGUUCACAUACUGAAUGUCAUUAAAGUCCCCCGUAACAAUUUUUUUAAAUUUUCCUUAAAUGUUCCCAGUGGGGUUUUAAUUAGGACUGUUAAGUUUUGAACACAUGCUAAAUGUCUUAAAAAGCCAUUUUUCCUGUUGCUCUGAAGCCUUACUUUCCAAAAAAAAAAAAUCCCUCUGUGUGGGCGUGGCUUAUGGUGUUGAGCUGUGUAAGUCGUGUAAGUCGUCGCCCCCCCAGACAUGCUCACGAGACACACACUUUGAUAAACCCAUGAAAAAAUAAAAUAAACUCAAACCUUUCCAUUCCUGCUGCAUUGCAGCAGCAGCAGCUCUAUCUGGGGUUCAGAACUGAUUUCAUGCUGAUUGUUGAAUUCACUUCAACAAGAAAUCUCAUGAAAUGAAAUGAAGAAUACAGAGAGGGUCUAAUCAAGCGUCAGUUUGUAAAUGUGUGCAGUG